RNAcentral lists this unclassified non-coding RNA (339 nucleotides) under soil metagenome. RNAcentral describes it as "partial contains 5.8S ribosomal RNA, internal transcribed spacer 2, and large subunit ribosomal RNA". The stretch from base 1 to 120 matches the Rfam family "5.8S ribosomal RNA", at positions 35 to 154 of the family's 154-position model. The record is from RNAcentral.
GAUGAAGAACUUAGCGAAAUGCGAUAAGUAGUGUGAAUUGCAGAAUUCAGUGAAUCAUCGAAUCUUUGAACGCACAUUGCGCCCCUCGGUAUUCCGUGGGGCAUGCCUGUUCGAGCGUCAUUUAACCCCUCAAGCCUAGCUUGGUAUUGGGUGCUUGUCCCGCCUCUCGCGCGGCGACUCACCUCAAAGUCAUUGGCAGCCCGCAUCUCGCCGGCCGUGAGCGCAGCACAGACGCGCUCUUGGCAACGACGGAUCGGCUCUCCAAAAGCUUAUUUCAACCACUGACCUCGGAUCAGGUAGGGAUACCCGCUGAACUUAAGCAUAUCAAUAAGCGGAGGA